RNAcentral lists this ribosomal RNA (307 nucleotides) under uncultured fungus. RNAcentral's name for it is "eukaryotic LSU rRNA". The stretch from base 1 to 71 matches the Rfam family "5.8S ribosomal RNA", at positions 84 to 154 of the family's 154-position model. Lineage: Eukaryota; Fungi. The record is from RNAcentral.
GUGAGUCAUCGAGUCUUUGAACGCACAUUGCGCCCGCCAGCACUCUGGCGGGCAUGCCUGUUCGAGCGUCAUUUCAACCCUCAAGCCCCCCCAGGGGGCCUGGUGUUGGGGACCGGCCCCGCCCCGUCGCGGUCGCCGCCCCCUAAAACUACAGUGGCGGUCCUGCCGCAGCCUCCUCUGCGUAGUAGCUUAUGAAACCUCGCACCGGAGCGCGGCUCGGCCACGCCGUUAAACCCCAACUUCUGAAAGUUUGACCUCGGAUCAGGUAGGAAUACCCGCUGAACUUAAGCAUAUCAAUAAGCGGAGG